GACGUAGGAUGCGAGCGUUGUCCGGAUUUAUUGGGCGUAAAGAGUUCGUAGGCGGUUUGUUAAGUCUGAUGUUAAAGAUCGGGGCUCAACCCUGGGAGUGCAUUGGAUACUGGCAGACUGGAGUGUGGUAGAGGCUAGUGGAAUUCCUAGUGUAGCGGUGAAAUGCGUAGAUAUUAGGAAGAACACCAGUGGCGUAGGCGACUAGCUGGGCCAUAACUGACGCUGAGGAACGAAAGCCAGGGGAGCGAAUGGG
Molecule: ribosomal RNA, 253 nt
Filed under: uncultured bacterium
Lineage: Bacteria
Description: partial 16S ribosomal RNA
Rfam family: Bacterial small subunit ribosomal RNA
Source: RNAcentral